AUCGCUUCUCGGCCUUUUGGCUAAGAUCAAGUGUAGGAAUAGCUAUACUGUGUGGUUCUUGGGAACUGCGGAAAAUAGUUAUUAUCACAACUAACCCAUAGUUUUAGAGACGCCUAAAAUAAUUAUUUUAUCUGCGUUCACUAAUUUAACCCUCACAGCAACCUCAAGGGGUCGGAAUUCAGUCAUU
Rattus rattus (black rat) is the source of this 187-nucleotide small nuclear RNA. RefSeq annotates it as U2 spliceosomal RNA. The transcript has a single exon. Lineage: Eukaryota; Metazoa; Chordata; Mammalia; Rodentia; Muridae. The record is from RefSeq and is a predicted model, not a curated record.